CUGGCGGCGUGCCUAACACAUGGCAAGUCGAACGGAAGCAGAGAUUCGGUUUCUGCUUUAGUGGCGACGGGUGAGUAACACGUGAGUAAUCUGCCUUACAGAGGGGGGAUAACGUUCUGAAAAGAACGCUAAUACCGCAUAAGCCAACGAAAUCGCAUGGUUUAGUUGGAAAAGGAGCAAUCCGCUGUAAGAUGAGCUCGCGUCUGAUUAGCUAGAUGCGGGGUAAGGCCCACCAUGGCGACGAUCAGUAGCCGGUCUGAGAGGAUGAACGGCCACAUUGGGACUGAGAUACGGCCCAGACUCCUACGGGAGGCAGCAGUGGGGGAAUAUUGGGCAAUGGGGGAAACCCUGACCCAGCAACGCCGCGUGAAGGAAGAAGGCCUUCGGGUUGUAAACUUCUUUUAGUAGGGACGAAGAACGUGACGGUACCUACAGAAAAAGCAACGGCUAACUACGUG
This 458-nucleotide ribosomal RNA is filed under the name uncultured bacterium. RNAcentral describes it as "bacterial SSU rRNA". It matches the Rfam family "Bacterial small subunit ribosomal RNA", at positions 36 to 507 of the family's 1533-position model. The record is from RNAcentral.